Cephalotus follicularis is the source of this 119-nucleotide ribosomal RNA. NCBI's taxonomy places the organism in Eukaryota, Viridiplantae, Streptophyta, Magnoliopsida, Oxalidales, Cephalotaceae. The record is from Rfam.
GGGUGCGAUCGUACCAGCACUAAUGCACCGGAUCCCAUCAGAACUCCGCAGUUUAGUGUGCUUGGGCGAGAGUAGUACUGGGAUGCGUGACCUCCUGGGAAGUCCUCGUGUUGCACCCC